AGAGUUUGAUCCUGGCUCAGGGCGAACGCUGGCGGUGUGCUUCACACAUGCAAGUCGAGCGAAUGAAGAAGGUAGCUUGCUACUUUUGGAUUUAGCGGCGGACGGGUGAGUAAUAUAUAGGAAUCUGCCCUAGAGCGGGGAACAACAGACCGAAAGGUUUGCUAAUGCCCCAUAGGUACGCAGUCUUCGGAUUGUUUAUUAAAGGAGUAAUCCACUCUAGGAUGAGCCUGUAUCCGAUUAGCUAGUUGGCGGGGUAAAGGCCCACCAAGGCUACGAUCGGUAGUUGGUCUGAGAGGAUGAUCAGCCACAAUGGGACUGAGACACGGCCCAUACUCCUACGGGAGGCAGCAGUGGGGAAUUUUACACAAUGGGGGAAACCCUGAUGUAGCGACACCGCGUGAACGAAGAAGCCUUUUGGGGUGUAAAGUUCUGUCGGCUGGAACGAAAAAAAUGACGGUACCAGCAAAGGAAGCAUCGGCUAACUACGUGCCAGCAGCCGCGGUAAGACGUAGGAUGCAAGCGUUGUCCGGAUUUAUUGGGCGUAAAGAGUUCGUAGGCGGUUAUUUAAGUCUGGUGUUAAAUACUGUGGCCCAACCACAGAACUGCAUUGGAUACUGGAUGACUUGAGUGCGGUAGAGGCGAGUGGAAUUCCCAGUGUAGCGGUGAAAUGCGUAGA
RNAcentral lists this ribosomal RNA (676 nucleotides) under uncultured bacterium. RNAcentral's name for it is "bacterial SSU rRNA". It matches the Rfam family "Bacterial small subunit ribosomal RNA", at positions 8 to 694 of the family's 1533-position model. The record is from RNAcentral.